GACGAACGCUGGCGGCGUGCCUAAUACAUGCAAGUAGAACGCUGAAGGAGGAGCUUGCUUCUCCGGAUGAGUUGCGAACGGGUGAGUAACGCGUAGGUAACCUGCCUGGUAGCGGGGGAUAACUAUUGGAAACGAUAGCUAAUACCGCAUAAGAGUAGAUGUCGCAUGACAUUUGCUUAAAAGGUGCAACUGCACCACUACCAGAUGGACCUGCGUUGUAUUAGCUAGUUGGUGAGGUAACGGCUCACCAAGGCAACGAUACAUAGCCGACCUAAGAGGGUGAUCGGCCACACUGGGACUGAGACACGGCCCAGACUCCUACGGGAGGCAGCAGUAGGGAAUCUUCGGCAAUGGACGGAAGUCUGACCGAGCAACGCCGCGUGAGUGAAGAAGGUUUUCGGAUCGUAAAGCUCUGUUGUAAGAGAAGAACGAGUGUGAGAGUGGAAAGUUCACACUGUGACGGUAUCUUACCAGAAAGGGACGGCUAACUACGUG
This 495-nucleotide ribosomal RNA is filed under the name uncultured bacterium. RNAcentral describes it as "partial 16S ribosomal RNA". It matches the Rfam family "Bacterial small subunit ribosomal RNA", at positions 28 to 507 of the family's 1533-position model. The record is from RNAcentral.